Molecule: ribosomal RNA, 445 nt
Filed under: uncultured bacterium
Lineage: Bacteria
Description: partial 16S ribosomal RNA
Rfam family: Bacterial small subunit ribosomal RNA
Source: RNAcentral
GUAAGGAAUAUUGGACAAUGGACGCAAGUCUGAUCCAGCCAUGCCGCGUGAAGGAUUAAGGUCCUCUGGAUUGUAAACUUCUUUUAUAAGGGACGAAAAAAGGCUUUUCUAAGUCGUCUGACGGUACCUUAUGAAUAAGCACCGGCUAACUCCGUGCCAGCAGCCGCGGUAAUACGGAGGGUGCAAGCGUUAUCCGGAUUCACUGGGUUUAAAGGGUGCGUAGGCGGGCAGGUAAGUCAGUGGUGAAAUCCUAGAGCUUAACUCUAGAACUGCCAUUGAUACUAUCUGUCUUGAAUAUUGUGGAGGUAAGCGGAAUAUGUCAUGUAGCGGUGAAAUGCUUAGAUAUGACAUAGAACACCUAUUGCGAAGGCAGCUUACUACGCAUAUAUUGACGCUGAGGCACGAAAGCGUGGGGAGCAAACAGGAUUAGAAACCCUGGUAGUCC